AUGGGCAUGUCAGUGACCCCGCAUGAGGGCCGCAGUAACUGUCCCGUCCUCGCCUGCCGCAAGGACCUGACGCAGACCUGCCCCGGCGAGCUGCAGGUGCGCGCGGCGGCGGGCGGCGGCGUUGCCGCGUGCAAGAGCGGCUGCCUGGCGUUCGGAACCGACGAGCUGUGCUGCCACAACACGUACAACAGCCCGGCCACCUACCGCCCCUCCAAGUACUCGGACUUCUUCAAGAGCGAGUGCCCGCAGGCCUUCACCUACGCCCACGACAACCCCUCCCUCACCCACCAGUGCUCCGCGUCGUGCGAGCUCAAGGUCAUCUUCUGCCACUAG
This 333-nucleotide ribosomal RNA is filed under the name Triticum aestivum (bread wheat). RNAcentral describes it as "partial small subunit ribosomal RNA". The record is from RNAcentral. Lineage: Eukaryota; Viridiplantae; Streptophyta; Magnoliopsida; Poales; Poaceae.